AUACGUAGGGUGCGAGCGUUGUCCGGAAUUACUGGGCGUAAAGAGCUCGUAGGUGGUUUGUCGCGUCGUCUGUGAAAUUCCGGGGCUUAACUCCGGGCGUGCAGGCGAUACGGGCAUAACUUGAGUACUGUAGGGGAGACUGGAAUUCCUGGUGUAGCGGUGAAAUGCGCAGAUAUCAGGAGGAACACCGGUGGCGAAGGCGUGUCUCUGGGCAGUAACUGACGCUGAGGAGCGAAAGCAUGGGUAGCGAACAGGAUUAGAUACCCUGGUAGUCCAUGCCGUAAACGGUGGGCGCUAGGGGUAGGGGUCUUCCACGACUUCUGUGCCGUAGCUAACGCAUUAAGCGCCCCGCCUGGGGAGUACGGCCGCAAGGCUAAAACUCAAAUGAAUUGACGGG
RNAcentral lists this ribosomal RNA (397 nucleotides) under uncultured bacterium. RNAcentral's name for it is "partial 16S ribosomal RNA". It matches the Rfam family "Bacterial small subunit ribosomal RNA", at positions 523 to 917 of the family's 1533-position model. The record is from RNAcentral.